AUUAAUUUAGAACAAACAAAACACCCAAUUUGACUUUUUUCACUAAUUAAAAAGAAAAUACUUUUACAUACAUAAAAACAAAUUUAUUUUUCAAAAUGAAGUAAGGGCUCUUUCUCAACGCGACGUGUAGAUGGGUGGUUGUCCAAAUCAACACCUCUCCCUAUUCGGAAGACCCCAUAUUAUUAACGGUCCUUCAAAAACUCCAAGCCCAUCUGUAAGACGUUUAAUGUCAGCUUAGUUAGGGUUCUCACAAGGGGGAAAGACAUGCAGAAAAUCUUUGAAUAAUUUCUACUUGCUUUAUGAUAAUUGUUCUUCCUACAAUUAGUCUGUGCUCAUUUUUGGGCAAUCCGGAUUCUUAAAUAUAUACAAUUUAAAUCUGAACCUCGACAUGCUCUGGGAAAAACAUGUCCCGACUUUCGAAACCCUAAAAACCAAUACAAAUAAAGAAUAAUUUCUCAUACAUAGGCCCCCUUUUGAUCAUGGCUUCCAACCGACUUGUUCUCAACUAAGAAGACACCGAAGGCCAACACAAUUAGCAAUUCCAAGAACCCUAGAUGAUGGGGUCCUGCAAAAGAGACCCUGCAGUUAUCCAAAACCUGGCAAAAUACACCAUUACAGAUUUACGGGAAAAGAGGCGUAACCCUAGAUAAGAGUGUGUGCACAUAUAUUUUUAAAACAGAAAUCAACAUAUUCAUCUACAAGUGAUAAAUAGACAUUAAUACGCCAGCAUUCUAUAGAUAAAGAUUUACUCGAGUAACUAAUGUGGAGCUCCCUUCAAUCCAAGAAAGGAAAAGAGAAGGCAAGCACAUCUCUCGAAUCAUGCAAACCCUUAAGCUGCACGCUCCUCCAAAGUAAAUUCAAUCUGCGCAACUCAGAGGUAUCCAUGAGCCAUCAGAUGUACUACAACCUCCCUCCUUCCAAGUAUUGGAUCAAAGGGAGCUCCCGUCUUCAGCCGUCUGAAUUAUUAUUAUUUUUUUUUUAAAAAAAAAGGUAUAGAAAUUAAGGGAGCUCCCUUCACUCCAAACAAGAAAAAGACAAGGCAAGCACAUCUCCUGAGUCAUGCAAAACCCUUGAGCCGUGCCCAACCAUCCUGCACAACACAAAGGUAUCCAUGAAUCAGCAGAUGGGUUCAUCCUUGUUUUUUUUUUUUUUCCUUGCUUUGGAUCAAAAGGAGCUCCACUUCAUCAUUUCCUUUUCCCCACUACGUACCGAUACAUAUACCAGAAAUACAUAUAUAUGCAUGUGCGGUGUAACGCCAUUAAAUUUAAGGUUCCCUUCAAAGGGAAAAGACUGAAGCUGUGACUGCGAAGAGUAAAGUGAGGUCAUAAUGUGGUUUAUAUAGAAGGGUGCAAGAAAAGUGUAAACCCUAGGAGAGCUAUAUUUACCCUUGUCAUAUAUUUGAAAAUAAUAUAGAUUUGAUUUUUUUUUUCUGAACACCAUUAACGGGGAACAGUGAAAGCAAAUCUGUGAAGAAAGAUUUUCUAUCAUCAAACGAGACAAGAUUAGCAGAGAAAGAGGCGAUGGUAUUCUGACAAAAGUGGAAAUCAGGGGCUGGUUUUUGGAAACAGAAACCGAC
RNAcentral lists this long non-coding RNA (1576 nucleotides) under Carica papaya (papaya). RNAcentral's name for it is "long non-coding RNA (CPAP_LNC004800)". Lineage: Eukaryota; Viridiplantae; Streptophyta; Magnoliopsida; Brassicales; Caricaceae. The record is from RNAcentral.